This 490-nucleotide ribosomal RNA is filed under the name uncultured bacterium. RNAcentral's name for it is "partial 16S ribosomal RNA". It matches the Rfam family "Bacterial small subunit ribosomal RNA", at positions 29 to 507 of the family's 1533-position model. The record is from RNAcentral.
AUUGAACGCUGGCGGCAGGCCUAACACAUGCAAGUCGAACGGUAACAGGAAGCAGCUUGCUGCUUUGCUGACGAGUGGCGGACGGGUGAGACAUGUCUGGGAAACUGCCUGAUGGAGGGGGAUAACUACUGGAAACGGUAGCUAAUACCGCAUAACGUCGCCAGCCCAAAGAGGGGGACCUUCUGGCGUCUGGCCAUCGGAUGUGCGCAGAUGGGAUUAGCUAGUAGGUGGGGUAACGGCUCACCUAGUCGACGGUCCCUAGCUCGUGUGAGAGGGUGGUCAGCCGCCCUGGAACUGAGCCACGCACCAGACUCCUAAGGGAGGCAGCAGAGGGGAAUAUUGCGCGAUGGGGGCAAGCAUGACGCAGUCAGGCGGAGUGUAUGACGACGGCCUCCGGGUUGUAAAGUACGUUCACCGGGGAGGAAGGGAGUACAGUUAAUACCAUUGCUGAGUGACGUUACCGGGAGAAGAAGCACCGGCUAACUACGUG